GUGUUCGCUUCAGCAGCACAGGCCCUAAAAUUAGGAAAAUACUAAGAAGAUUAGCAUGGCCCCUGAGCAAGGAAGACAUGCAAAUUUGUGAAGCAUUCCAUAUUUUU
This is a small nuclear RNA of Equus asinus (donkey), 107 nucleotides long. The record is from Ensembl. NCBI's taxonomy places the organism in Eukaryota, Metazoa, Chordata, Mammalia, Perissodactyla, Equidae.